AUGAGGCAUCCAUAUGGUUCUCUUUUUAACAUUUUUACGCUUCUUUGGUGUCUCUGGAAAGCAAGGAAUGAUUUUCUAUUUCAUAGGGUGAAAUCUCUUCCUCAUCAAGUUCACAUUGCUGCUCUUGCAUUAACCUCUAAUGUGUAUGACAAUGCCCUUCUCUUGAAUCAGACUCCAACUCCAACUCAGUUGUCUUCUAAUCAAAUUCCUUUGCCUGGCAGAACCCUUAGGUCUGAUUUGUUGGUUGAUGGGGCUAAAAUCUAUUCGGAUGCAGCUUUUAGGACUAAGAAAAUUCCAGGUAUGUUGCAAGGACAGGUUGGCACAGGUGUGGGAAUCUUUAUUUCCUUACCCUCUAACGGAGGAGAGAUCAAUGUGCAAGUGCAAGCUUCAGCUCCUCCAACUUCUACUCCUCUGCAAGCGGAGGCUCUUGCACUAAAUUUUGCUGCUUAUCUUGCAUCUCAACUCAACAUUGCUCAGCCUACUUUUCUGUCGGACCGCUUGGUUUUAGGAGGGGCUGCUGCUCUAGGUAAUGUCUCCACUUCUGAAACUCCAUGGAGUAUCAGGAAAUCUUUGACUAGAUUUUUUAAGACUACUUAUCAGCUUCAGCCAAAGGUGUUUCACAUUUCUAGGGAGAUCAAUGGUAUUGCUCAUAAUCUUGCUCAACAAGUUUUCCGUACUAUUGGCGACACUCGACUUUCUUGUUUUGCUGCAAGACACAAUUAUGGUCUUUGCCCAAUACUGCCUAUUCUUGAAAAAAUUUAG
RNAcentral lists this ribosomal RNA (762 nucleotides) under Triticum aestivum (bread wheat). RNAcentral describes it as "partial small subunit ribosomal RNA". Lineage: Eukaryota; Viridiplantae; Streptophyta; Magnoliopsida; Poales; Poaceae. The record is from RNAcentral.